AGAGUUUGAUCCUGGCUCAGAGCGAACGCUGGCGGCAGGCCUAACACAUGCAAGUCGAACGGACUCUUCGGAGUUAGUGGCGGACGGGUGAGUAACACGUGGGAACGUGCCUUUAGGUUCGGAAUAAGCUCGGGAAACUGGGUCUAAUACCGAAUGUGCCCUUCGGGGGAAAGAUUUAUCGCCUUUAGAGCGGCCCGCGUCUGAUUAGCUAGUUGGUGGUGUAAUGGACCACCAAGGCGACGAUCAGUAGCUGGUCUGAGAGGAUGACCAGCCACAUUGGGACUGAGACACGGCCCAAACUCCUACGGGAGGCAGCAGUGGGGAAUCUUGCGCAAUGGGCGAAAGCCUGACGCAGCCAUGCCGCGUGUAUGAUGAAGGUCUUAGGAUUGUAAAAUACUUUCACCGGUGAAGAUAAUGACUGUAGCCGGAGAAGAAGCCCCGGCUAACUUCGUGCCAGCAGCCGCGGUAAUACGAAGGGGGCUAGCGUUGCUCGGAAUUACUGGGCGUAAAGGGAGCGUAGGCGGACAUUUAAGUCAGGGGUGAAAUCCCAGAGCUCAACUCUGGAACUGCCUUUGAUACUGGAUGUCUUGAGUGUGAGAGAGGUAUGUGGAACUCCGAGUGUAGAGGUGAAAUUCGUAGAUAUUCGGAAGAACACCAGUGGCGAAGGCGACAUACUGGCUCAUUACUGACGCUGAGGCUCGAAAGCGUGGGGAGCAAACAGGAUUAGAUACCCCGGUAGUCC
RNAcentral lists this ribosomal RNA (742 nucleotides) under uncultured bacterium. RNAcentral describes it as "bacterial SSU rRNA". It matches the Rfam family "Bacterial small subunit ribosomal RNA", at positions 8 to 796 of the family's 1533-position model. The record is from RNAcentral.